CUCCGGUUGAUCCCGCCGGACCUGACUGCUAUCGGAUUGGUACUAAGCCAUGCGAGUCAUUGUAGCAAUACAAGGCGGACGGCUCAGUAACACGUAGUCAACCUAACUCGUGGACGUGGAUAACCUCGGGAAACUGAGAAUAAACCACGAUAGAUCAUAGUGCCUGGAAUGGCUUAUGGUCCAAACAGUUUACUGCCAUGGGAUGGGACUGCGGCCUAUCAGCUUGUUGGUGAGGUAAUGGCCCACCAAGGCGAUUACAGGUACGGGCUCUGAGAGGAGAAGCCCGGAGAUGGGUACUGAGACACGGACCCAGGCCCUAUGGGGCGCAGCAGGCGAGAAACCUUAGCAAUGUGCGAAAGCACGACUGGGUCAGUCCGAGUGAUUCCUGAUAAAGGAGUCUUUUGCUUGUCCUAAAAGCACAGGUGAAUAAGGGGUGGGCAAGUCUGGUGUCAGCCGCCGCGGUAAUACCAGCACCUCGAGUGGUCAGGACGUUUAUUGGGCCUAAAGCAUCCGUAGCCGGCUCUGCAAGUCUUCGGUUAAAUCCACCUGCUCAACAGAUGGGCUGCUGGAGAUACUACAGAGCUAGGGAGUGGGAGAGGCAGACGGUAUUCAGUGGGUAGGGGUAAAAUCCUCUGAUCCAUUGAGGACCACCAGUGGCGAAGGCGGUCUGCCAGAACACGUUCGACGGUGAGGGAUGAAAGCUGGGGGAGCAAACCGGAUUAGAUACCCGGGUAGUCCCAGCUGUAAACGAUGCAAACUCGGUGAUGCAUUGGCUUAUGGCCAAUGCAGUGCCGCAGGGAAGCCGUUAAGUUUGCCGCCUGGGAAGUACGGACGCAAGUCUGAAACUUAAAGGAAUUUGGCGGGGGAGCA
This 870-nucleotide ribosomal RNA is filed under the name uncultured archaeon. RNAcentral's name for it is "bacterial SSU rRNA". It matches the Rfam family "Archaeal small subunit ribosomal RNA", at positions 1 to 878 of the family's 1478-position model. The record is from RNAcentral.